This 411-nucleotide ribosomal RNA is filed under the name uncultured eukaryote. RNAcentral's name for it is "SSU rRNA". It matches the Rfam family "Eukaryotic small subunit ribosomal RNA", at positions 567 to 990 of the family's 1831-position model. The record is from RNAcentral.
CCAGCAGCUGCGGUAAUUCCAGCUCUAAUAGUAUAUAUUAAAGUUGUUGCAGUUAAAAAGCUCGUAGUCGAAUUUCGGGCUCGUGUGGGCGGUCGGCUUAGGUCGAAUUGCCUGUGCGGGCCUUUCUGCUUGGGAGUCCUGGUAGGUUAACCCUUAUCUGUGAGUCACAGGCCGUUUACUUUGAAAAAAUUAGAGUGUUCAAAGCAGGCCUACGCUUGAAUACAUUAGCAUGGAAUAAUGGAAUAGGACUUUGGUGCUAUUUUGUUGGUUUAUGGGACCGAAGUAAUGAUUAACAGGGACAGUUGGGGCCGUUUAUAUUUCGUUGUCAGAGGUGAAAUUCUUGGAUUUACGAAAGAUAAACUUCUGCGAAAGCAUUCGGCAAGGAUGUUUUCAUUGAUAAAGAACGAAAGU